RNAcentral lists this ribosomal RNA (253 nucleotides) under uncultured bacterium. Its description in RNAcentral is "partial 16S ribosomal RNA". It matches the Rfam family "Bacterial small subunit ribosomal RNA", at positions 524 to 776 of the family's 1533-position model. The record is from RNAcentral.
UACGGGGGGGGCAAGCGUUGUUCGGAAUUACUGGGCGUAAAGGGCGCGUAGGCGGCCUGCUAAGUCGGAUGUGAAAUCCCUCGGCUCAACCGAGGAACUGCAUCCGAUACUGGCGGGCUUGAAUCCGGGAGAGGGAUGUGGAAUUCCAGGUGUAGCGGUGAAAUGCGUAGAUAUCUGGAGGAACACCGGUGGCGAAGGCGGCCCUCUGGACGGAUACUGACGCUGAUACGCGAAAGCGUGGGGAGCAAACAGG